AUUGAACGCUGGCGGCAGGCCUAACACAUGCAAGUCGAGCGGAGCGGAGGACGGGGGAGUAAUGACUAGGAAGGUGCCUGGUAGUGGGGGAUAGCGUCCGGAAACGGGCGCUAAUUCCGCAUACUUUCAGAUGAGACUACGUCGGAGUAGCUAGUUGGGGGGGUAAAGGCCUACCAAGGCGACGAUCCGUAACUGGUCGGAGAGGAUGAUCAGUCACACUGGAACUGAGACACGGUCCAUACUCCUACGGGAGGCAGCAGUGGGGAAUAUUGGACAAUGGGCGAAAGCCUGAUCCAGCCAUGCCGCGUGUGUGAAGAAGGUCUUCGGAUUGUAAAGCACUUUAAGUUGGGAGGCGUUACCAACAGAAGAAGCACCGGCUAACUUCGUGCCAGCAGCCGCGGUAAUUC
This 407-nucleotide ribosomal RNA is filed under the name uncultured bacterium. RNAcentral describes it as "partial 16S ribosomal RNA". It matches the Rfam family "Bacterial small subunit ribosomal RNA", at positions 30 to 526 of the family's 1533-position model. The record is from RNAcentral.